GAUCAUUUCUCAUUUUCUUUCUUUUGUUUUAUUUCAACAAUAGUUCCAAGCUUCUGGGUUCAAAAUCUUUGGUUUUGAUAUUCAGGGACAAGAAGUGACAGCAAGAACAAGAACAAAUCCAUUUUAAGGUAGCAAAGAAACCGUAACGUUGUGUUAUCAUAAAACCGAGGUAGAUGUCAUAAUUCAAUUUUAACUUAUUGCAUUAUAUAAGCCGUAAAGACCCCCUCGAUUCGAAUUCGAUUACAGACUUCAUGAAGACACCCGUCCGUACCACUAGCAGACAUGACUUGCAAAACUCCAAACGUUCACUAGAGGGCAGCAAACAACUAGAGUACUGUAUCUCUUUACGGUCAACUGGUGGUCAUUUGGAAUUUUGCAAACCAAUAAGUGUUUUCUGCUGUUAUUACAGUAAAUUAUUAAACAUUACGAGGAACAAUGCAUUUUCUCAGUAUCAAAUUAAUUUACUGUAAGGAAUAGAGUGUAUUAGGGCUUGUUUUAAAAAUGUAGUUUCAACUGAAAUAAAGUUAAAGUAAAAUAUUUCAGAAAGUAAUCUGGUGCUAAGUAUGGUCUACCAAUAAAUAAUAGCAGAGAUACAGAAAAUUCUAAAUCUGCUUUACAUAUUGGUCAACUCAGUGUCUGCUAACCAGAUGUAGCAGCCUUAAACAAGUAAUUUCUGGAUGGCAGAAAUGUCUCUUUUGUUCCAUUUACAACAAACUCAGUCUAAUUAAGCAUAUUGUUUUUAGACUUUAAAGUUGAUUUUGGCUUCAAUCCAUCCCCAGCAUGGGGGAGGCAACUCAAAAUCAUAGACAGCUAUUUGAGUUUUAAGUAAAGGUUUUGGUAUUCUUAUAGAGCAAGGUUGUCAAACUUGCAUCGUCGUGGCAUCGUCAUGUGACAUAUUGCGACUUUUUUCCCCUUUGCUAAACCAGGCAUGGCCAUGGCCAUGAUGCAUCGGGGCUGCAGGCCGUGAGUUUGACACCCCUGUUAUAGAGGUUGUGCCAUAUAAAUGAUCUGUAAUGCAUCACUGCUGAUGAAGUAGCUAGGGGCUGGAAUCAGCCUUGCUCUUAUUAGAUACUUAGAUUGUGAUUGGCAUGACCUUUCCCACCCAGUUAUUAUGUAUUGCCUUUCAUGCAUUCUUAAGAUACUUCUGCCCAAAUAAUACCUGACCCAAAUUCCCAAGUUGCAAAAGUUCUAUUAUAAAUUUUGUAAGGCCUCUGCAGGCUUCAGGAAUAGGCAGUUUUGCCUAUUACUGUUACCCUGUUUCCCCCAAAAUAAGACAUCCCCUGAUAAUAAGCCCAAUUGGGCUUUUGAGUGCAUGGCAAUAAGGCCAAGCACUUAUUUCAGGGUUCAAAAAAAUAUAAGACGGGGUCUUAUUUUCGGGGAAACACAGUAUGUCUCACCAAUGUCCUCCUUUUGCUCCUGGGAUGACCAUCUUAGUUUCUCUCCUCUGCUGUCAUCACUUAAGCUACUGUAGUGAUAGGUGUCUUUCCAUCAAGCUUCAAGCACCUUAGCAAGCAAUAGUCAGUUGUUUGGUUGUUCUUUCAGCAGCAAACAUCAAAGUGGAAAGGUAAAGACAGGGAGGCAGCAUGAUGCUAUCUGGCAGUAAUAUCUUUUAUUUUUUGCAUUUCUUGUUAUUUAUGAGAAGUGUUUGCUGGCUCAAACUUGAGUUUUAAGAUUUCUAUGUGGAACCAUUUGACUAGGCUAUUCUGAGUCUGAUUUUUAUGGCUGAGUACAGCAAAGAGUGUAUGAGCAUUCAUGCCAGUGAUGGGAUUCAGCCAGUUCUCUCCGGAUCAUGCGAACCAGUAGCGGCGACUGCAAGAGGCUCCGCCCACCCACCCGGACGUAAUGCGCGACUACUGUGCAUGUGCAGGAGACUGUGCGCAUGCGCAGAGGUGGCACGUGCGCUCACAUUUGCGAACCGUUAGGGAAGGUGGCAUCUACCCCCGACAAGAAUAGCGAGAAUGUUCAAGAACAAAUCUGAGAAGUGUUGGAAAUGUCAUCAGAUACCGGGCUCAUAUUACCAUAUAUGGUGGACAUAUGUAGAAGCGAAAAGAUACUGGACUAAAAUCCACACAUGGUUGGAAAAAAUGACAAAAAAACAUAUAGACUUUAAGCCAGAGAUUUUUUUAUUAGGGAUUGUGCCAGAAAUAUACAAUAGACAAUUGAGAUAUUUGAUUGUAAAUGUUUUAACAGCUGCUGGGAUUGUGUUUGCUAAAAACUGGAAAAAUGAGAAAAUACCAACGCAAGAUGAAAUUAUUAAGAAAAUCAUGGAAUGUGCUGAAAUGAGUAAAUUGACAUUUGAAAUUAGAGAACAAGAAGAUAAACAAUACUACAAGAUACGGGAUUUAUUUUAUCAAUGGCUAGAUAAUAAAAGAUGGAAAUGAAAUAUGAAAUAUGAAAUGUUAUAAAUAUAAUAUUUGAAAAUAAAAUUUUUGAAGCAACAAAGCCAUAGUUAAAUAAAUGAUAAAUGAGGAUGUUGAUUUGUUUGGCAAUAUGAGAAAUUAGAUAAUUAGUAAAUUUUGAAUAUGGGGAUGAAGCACAAAAGAUUUGUAACCAACUGACACACUGUUUGUAUUUGUAAUGGAUGAUGGGUUUUAUGUUUUGUUUUAAAAAAUUAAAAUUAAAAAAAAAACG
Molecule: non-coding RNA, 2631 nt
Organism: Pantherophis guttatus
Lineage: Eukaryota; Metazoa; Chordata; Lepidosauria; Squamata; Colubridae
Source: RefSeq, a predicted model, not a curated record